AUUGAGCGCUAGCGGGAUGCCUUACACAUGCAAGUCGAACGGCAGCACGGACUUCGGUCUGGUGGCGAGUGGCGAACGGGUGAGUAAUGUAUCGGAACGUGCCCAGUAGCGGGGGAUAACUACUCGCAAGAGUAGCUAAUACCGCAUACGCCCUACGGGGGAAAGGGGGGGAUCGCAAGACAUCCUACUAUUGGAGCGGCCGAUAUCGGAUUAGCUAGUUGGUGGGGUAAAGUCCCACCAAGGCGGCGAUCCGUAGCUGGUUUGAGAGGACGACCAGCCACACUGGGACUGAGACACGGCCCAGACUCCUACGGGAGGCAGCAGUGGGGAAUUUUGGACAAUGGGGGCAACCCUGAUCCAGCCAUCCCGCGUGUGCGAUGAAGGCCUUCGGGUUGUAAAGCACUUUUGGCAGGAAAGAAAUCGCACGGGCUAAUACCUCGUGUGGAUGACGGUACCUGCAGAAUAAGCACCGGCUAACUACGUGCCAGCAGCCGCAGUAA
RNAcentral lists this ribosomal RNA (500 nucleotides) under uncultured bacterium. Its description in RNAcentral is "partial 16S ribosomal RNA". It matches the Rfam family "Bacterial small subunit ribosomal RNA", at positions 30 to 523 of the family's 1533-position model. The record is from RNAcentral.